UCUCAUAAGUGAAUGAGAAAUUUGAAAGCUCAAAUGGAAGACCAACAACUGCCAACACUUAUUACCAAAGUAAAUGUCCUCCCUUGGUAAAAGCAACGUACAGGAAAAAAACACAGUUUACGAAGCCUUUAACUUAAUUAUAAAAAAAAAAAACUCGGCAAGGAAAACGCGAAUAUUUCAUUCUUUCCUCCUACUUACAACUUCACUCUCUCUCUACAUUUUCACUUCUUCCUUUUCUGUUUCAGUACCAACAACACUAUCGAUUUAACCACGACGGUAAGAAACCUAGACGGCACUCCUAUGUAACAAUGGCGGCACCAUCGUGAGUGCCCAUAACUUAGAGAAAGAAAACCUAAACUUACCCAAACAAAUACUCCGAAAAACAGAUCUAACCACGUAGUUUCUGAAUCAAGAACACGAAUCCAAAGAAAACGAAGCAACAACCAAACAACACAACAGCAGGAAUCUCAUGUAAUAAUCAUGGGGGUUAUGGCAUUUGAGGAGAUGUGAACAAGAUGGUAAUAUCAAAUCAUGCAAAGGAGAAAUAUUAAAUACCAAAUCGGAGCUAGUCCGACGUUUCAACUCCGGCAAGGUGAGGGGGCUUAGCUCGAGCUUGUUGAGCUUCGGUGUGAGAAUCUCAACAAGUUCAAAACAGAGCUUUUUUAACUAGGGUUUUGGAAUGAUUUCUCCAGAGUAACGGCGCAGAAAAUCGGAUCCCUACUUCAUCCCUGGAGGUCCUUAUUUAUAGCAUUUUUGAUGUACGAGGUUUUGAAUUCCUCUCUCAUGAGCUUGGCAAGUUAGUGGGAGAAUCAUUCCGUUAGGUAGCAGAAUUUCUCAGAGUUAGUGGUGCUUCAAAUCGGUGUGGUCCCUCAAAUGGCAGGAUGAGGUUUUGUCUGUAGUGAAUCCGUGGUUUAUGUUGUGAUAGAUGCAUGUUUACAAGGUUUGGAAGAUUGACGAGUAUGUUUCAUCGUGACAGGUUUUGUCAUGCCAUCCUCUUUGAUAAAUGAUGCUUAAUGGUUGGAUGUUACUACUGCCUUGUGAUGCAUUACAGGUUUUGUUUUUGAGACGAACUAGCUUAUGGUGACAUGACUAGUUAUGGACCAAGGUCUUUUCUUCAUGUGUCAUGAUGUUGUAACACGUCGGUACCUGUUUUAAACCUUGCGUAAUUAGUGCUUCUGCAGGUUGUGCUCUACUGAUAUAAUGAUGACAUUUGGUUACGCGACCGUUUGAGUUCGAUCUGGUAUGCGACUUAACGCAGGUUUUGCUGUGACCACUGAUGUGUUGCAGGAUGCUGAUUAACUCAUUCCUGUUGGUUGCAGUUUUUGACUGCUUGCGCAGAAAAUGUAUCUGUCCAAAAGUAGACUGUCACGCUGGAUUGUAAUCAUUGCAGGAUGCGUCACAUUUGGUUGGUAAUUCGGAUGGAAGCAAGGCAGUGCAUACUGAUUGACUGAUCAAGGUGAACUGUUACCUUUGUGUUGCAGGUCAUGGCGUGCUUGCUAAAGGGUAGCAUGCGGCUAUUAUGCUGUUAGCUUUGGUUCUGCAGCCAAGAUUUCUUGCUGUUUAAAGGGAUAGUUUGAUGACCGUUGAUGUUAGCUAGUGAUGUGGUUCUGCAACAGCUUUGGUUGGCAGCGGUAUUGAUGACACAGGUGGUGCAAGUGAGAAAACUUGACAAGGCUAGUAGCUAUGUUGGACCUUAAAAAUAAAUAACAGAGAUCCUUCUCGUCAACUGAAGGAAUUCCAAUUUCGUUCCUCUUCUUCUGCAUUACAUUGAACGGCAUCCUUCUUUGUAUGCUUUCUUUUUUGUGAAAUCACGACGCUUGUGCCGUGCCUUGAGUAUUUAGCGUUUAGCUACUACUAGAAAACAGAAGACCGAAUUAACUACACUCUUAAUUUGUCUGGUAAUUCUAGCGCUGAUUUUUCUUUUCGACAUUACUUCUGUUUCGUUUUGUAUGCGAGAUGAAAUAAUCUUGGAAUGUCUGUGAGUUGUCAGUGGGGUGGAGUCUCAGAGAUAAUGGUUUCUGCCAGAUGCUUUCAUUCCUAUUUCCUUCUUAUUGUGAGGUCGCUGAUAUAAUUAUGAACUCUGACAUCUGCAAUACUAAUGCUUUCAUCCAUCUCAGGACCACCAGCUGUUAUGGGAAGUGAAUGCAUUGGUGCAUCAAAUGGUGCUGCAUCGGUUAUUCUUUGGUGAUCCUGAACAAUCAGAGCUGCACGAUAAGCGUGACCUCCUGCAAUAACAUCAAAAGUUUCGGCAUCAACCGCAUCCCCGUUUGACCUCCCUUCUUGGACCGUAGAAAUCUUUGAAAGCUUGCAGCAUGUUUGCAAGCAAUGGUAGAAAUACAUAGGCAGUCCUCUGGUUGACUUCGCACGGCUGCCGUAGGCUGAUGCAUAAUUUUUGUCUUUUAAUUUUUGUUUUCUUUCUUUAGAAAUUUAAUCCUUUCAUUUGGCUCUGUGGUUAUAGGUACAGUGAAUUCUAUGUAAAUGAUGAAAUAUGUUAUGCUUCUCAUAAUGGAAUUGGAACAAAUGCGGUUAUUAUUCAUAGUUUA
This is a long non-coding RNA of Lathyrus oleraceus (garden pea), 2543 nucleotides long. RefSeq lists it as uncharacterized. Lineage: Eukaryota; Viridiplantae; Streptophyta; Magnoliopsida; Fabales; Fabaceae. The transcript is spliced from 6 exons. The record is from RefSeq and is a predicted model, not a curated record.